Homo sapiens (human) is the source of this 1578-nucleotide long non-coding RNA. Ensembl annotates it as H2BC6 antisense RNA 1. Its record names the gene H2BC6-AS1. Lineage: Eukaryota; Metazoa; Chordata; Mammalia; Primates; Hominidae. The record is from Ensembl.
AUAUACAUACAUACAUACACUGAAUCCUCACACGAAGAGCCCUACAGGCGUGAGAACAGUAAGGGAGAUGCAAGAAAGGUCUCCUUGGAGUUGGGAGGCGUAUUUACAGCUACUAGAGAAGGGGGAAGUGCCAGCUCCCCGAGAAGAAAGCAGGAGGAUGCUGAGAGACUAAAGCUGAAAUUUUCUGCCUGCUUCCUCACUCUUUUCGUUGGUUUCAGCCGUCUGAAAAACCCUUGUGAGAGGAGCAAAAAGGUCAAGGGAAGAUUGUUGCCUUGCUCUCAGUCUUCAAAAUUUUCGAUCCUCCGUUUUUUUUGUUUUGAGACGCAGUCUCGCUCUGUCGCCUAGGCUGGAGUGCAGCGGCGCGAUCUCGGUCACUGCAACCUCCGCCUCCCUGGUUCUAGCGAUUCUUCUGCCUCAGCCUCCUGAGUAGCUGGGACUACAGGCGCGUGCCACCACACCCGGCUAAUUUUUUUGUACUUUUGAUAGGGACGGGGUCUCACGGUGUUAGCCAGGAUGGUCUCUAUCUCCUGAACUCGUGAUCCGCCCGCCUCGGCCUCCCAAAGUGCUGGGAUUACAGGCGUGAGCCACCGCGCCCGGCCGGUCCUCUGUUUUUAAACUGUAAAGGACUCCAGCGGAUUGUUCGAAGUCUCCGAUAUCCCGCGAUCUGGUGGCCGCAGAAGAAAGAGGCCGAGUCGGCGGGGACUGGGAACCACCAGUUAGCGGCCUACGGGCAACCUCCCGGACGCGCGCGCCGGGCCGACGUUAAACAGAAAACAGUUGUUUGGUUUUGAAGAUAAUCAGUUACCCCUCUAGAGAGGUCUAACGGGCAAGGAACUGAGGCCUCCACCCAAAAGUCGGCUUGAACUUGCCAGAUAUGCGAGUGUGCCACCUUGGAAGGGAAUCCUCCAGCUACAGUCAAGGAUUCGGAUGAUUGCAGCCUAUGUUUACAGCUUGACUUCAACCUCAAGGAAGACCCGGAGCCAUAACCACCUAGCUAAAUCACUUCUGGAUUCCCGACUCACAGAAAUUAGUUUUGGGAUAAUUUGUUACACGGCAAUAGAUAACAUAAUAGACAUGGGGAGCCCCACAGUUAAGCUUAUAGAGCUACCAUAAUUUUUAUAAUGAAACUUGAUAAAGAUGGAGUUUCACUCUUGUUGCCCAGACUGGAGGACAAUUGCGUGAUCUUGGCUCAAUGCAACCUCUGCCUCCUGGGUUGAAGCGAUUCUCCUGCCUCAGCCUCCUGAGUAGUUGAGAUUACAGGUGCAUGCCACCAUGCCUGGAUGAUUUUUGUAUUUUUAGUAGAGAUGGGGUUUCACCAUAUUGGCCAGGCUGGUCUCGAACUCCUGAGCUCAGGUGAUCCGCCUGCCUCAGCCUCCCAAAGUGCUGGGAUUACAGGCGUGAGCCACUGUGCCUGGCCUCUUUUUCUUUUUUCAAAAAGACACUAGUCAAUUCGAGUCUGUUUUUUUUUUUUUUUGAGACAGAGUCUCAUUCUGUGGCCCAGGGUGGAGUGCAGUGGCACGAUCUUGGCUCACUGCAAACUCCACCUCCCGGGUUCACGCGAUUCUCCUGCCUCAUCCU